UUUGACCUCGGAUCAGGGUAGGGAUACCCGCUGAACUUAAGCAUAUCAUAG
RNAcentral lists this ribosomal RNA (51 nucleotides) under uncultured fungus. RNAcentral describes it as "partial 28S ribosomal RNA". The record is from RNAcentral. Lineage: Eukaryota; Fungi.